This 253-nucleotide ribosomal RNA is filed under the name uncultured bacterium. RNAcentral's name for it is "partial 16S ribosomal RNA". It matches the Rfam family "Bacterial small subunit ribosomal RNA", at positions 524 to 776 of the family's 1533-position model. The record is from RNAcentral.
UACGUAGGGUGCGAGCGUUAAUCGGAAUUACUGGGCGUAAAGCGUGCGCAGGCGGUUUUGUAAGACAGGCGUGAAAUCCCCGGGCUCAACCUGGGAAUGGCGUUUGGGACUGGGUCGCUAGAGUGUGGCAGAGGGAGGUGGAAUUCCACGUGUAGCAGUGAAAUGCGUAGAGAUGUGGAGGAACACCGAUGGCGAAGGCGGAUCUCUGGGCCGAUACUGACGCUGAGGAGCGAAAGCGUGGGGAGCGAACAGG